RNAcentral lists this ribosomal RNA (460 nucleotides) under uncultured bacterium. RNAcentral describes it as "partial 16S ribosomal RNA". It matches the Rfam family "Bacterial small subunit ribosomal RNA", at positions 338 to 795 of the family's 1533-position model. The record is from RNAcentral.
CCUACGGGUGGCAGCAGUGAGGAAUCUUGGUCAAUGGACGAGAGUCUGAACCAGCCAAGUAGCGUGAAGGAUGACUGCCCUAUGGGUUGUAAACUUCUUUUAUAUGGGAAUAAAAUGUUCCACGUGUGGGAUUUUGUAUGUACCAUAUGAAUAAGGAUCGGCUAACUCCGCUCCAGCAGCCGCGGUACUACGGAGGAUCCGAGCGUUAUCCGGAUUUAUUGGGUGUAAAGGGAGCGUAGGGGGAUUGUUAAGUUAGUUGUGAAAGUGUGCGGCUCAACCGGAAAAUUGCAGUUGAUACUGGGAGACGUGAGUACAGUAGAGGUGGGCGGAAUUCGUGGUGUAGCGGUGAAAUGCGUAGAUAUAAGGAAGAACACCGAUGGCGAAGGCAGCUCUCUGGACUGCAACUGACACUGAGGCUCGAAAGUGUGGGGAGCAAACAGGAUUAGAUACCCCUGUAGUC